ACCAGGAAGUGACGUUUUUUGCAGUAGUGGGGUCGAGAAUUUAUACCUAUUGUAGCGUCGAGGAAUUACCAGUUUUUUCUGCAUGUUAGCCAAAAUGCCAGCUCGUUGUAUUGCUGGAUUUUUGCUCGAACGUUGGGAGGAUGGAUUCACUCUUCACACUUUUCUAAAAGACCUGAUUCGUCGUGAAAAAUGGAUUGUACAGGUGCAAAGGACAAUAGCUUUGUGUGUUGAAAAUGACAGGCUGCAGACCUGUCACCAGUCACCCUUCGGUACCUAACCCCUUUAAACUUUCCUGAUCCUGGAAGUCGUCGCCAGGGUAUUGAAGCUUCUGCACCGUUACAACGGCUCCCCAGUUCCCAGUGGGUUUCUGCGACCUCACCGCCAAUCCAUCCGCCUGUCCUCGACCCUUGCUGCGACGCAUUCUCUGUCUCAACAACCCGCCAGCGUAUCUCAAAGACCGGCUCCAUUUUCCUUUUCAUCAAACUGUUCAUCACAACCGCUCAGCCUCCACCUGCUGUUGGCUCCAGUCUCAAUCCAUUUGUGACAAUUUUAGCUUUAUUUAAAAUUUCAUUUUUUUUCUUUAAUAUUAAUUAUUUAUCAUAAAAAAGCACAAACUGCACUAAUGUUGCAUUAAAUAUGUUAUAUUUGUGCAAUGUAGUGAAAAAACAUCUGUUCAUUUAAUAAUUAUAAUCA
Long non-coding RNA from Syngnathoides biaculeatus (alligator pipefish), 693 nucleotides. RefSeq lists it as uncharacterized. Lineage: Eukaryota; Metazoa; Chordata; Actinopteri; Syngnathiformes; Syngnathidae. The record is from RefSeq and is a predicted model, not a curated record. The transcript is spliced from 3 exons.